AUUGAACGCUGGCGGCAGGCCUAACACAUGCAAGUCGAGCGGAUGAAGGGAGCUUGCUCCUGGAUUCAGCGGCGGACGGGUGAGUAAUGCCUAGGAAUCUGCCUGGUAGUGGGGGAUAACGUCCGGAAACGGGCGCUAAUACCGCAUACGUCCUGAGGGAGAAAGUGGGGGAUCUUCGGACCUCACGCUAUCAGAUGAGCCUAGGUCGGAUUAGCUAGUUGGUGGGGUAAAGGCCUACCAAGGCGACGAUCCGUAACUGGUCUGAGAGGAUGAUCAGGCACACUGGAACUGAGACACGGUCCAGACUCCUACGGGAGGCAGCAGUGGGGAAUAUUGGACAAUGGGCGAAAGCCUGAUCCAGCCAUGCCGCGUGUGUGAAGAAGGUCUUCGGAUUGUAAAGCACUUUAAGUUGGGAGGAAGGGCAGUAAGUGAAUACCUUGCUGUUUUGACGUUACCAACAGAAUAAGCACCGGCUAACUUCGUG
This 484-nucleotide ribosomal RNA is filed under the name uncultured bacterium. RNAcentral describes it as "partial 16S ribosomal RNA". It matches the Rfam family "Bacterial small subunit ribosomal RNA", at positions 30 to 507 of the family's 1533-position model. The record is from RNAcentral.